UAGCUCAGCUGGUAAAGAAUCUGCCUGCAAGGCAGGAGACCCAGGUUCAAUUCCUGG
RNAcentral lists this transfer RNA (57 nucleotides) under Bos taurus (domestic cattle). It matches the Rfam family "tRNA", at positions 8 to 63 of the family's 71-position model. Rfam says of the family: Transfer RNA (tRNA) molecules are approximately 80 nucleotides in length. Their secondary structure includes four short double-helical elements and three loops (D, anti-codon, and T loops). The record is from Rfam by way of RNAcentral. RNAcentral also lists the same sequence under 5 other names. Lineage: Eukaryota; Metazoa; Chordata; Mammalia; Artiodactyla; Bovidae.